UAUUUAAAUAAUUUUUAAGGAACUAUUUUGAACCUGCUAAAAAGAUAAGGGACUAUUUUUAUCAUUUUCUCUGCCAAAAAUUGUCAACUUCUACUCUGAAUCAGAAAGAUAAGCUCCAAAACUGCAGUUUCAACAACUAGCCGCUUCAUUCAACAGGUGAUUCAAAUGGCUGACGAGGAGCGAGAUCUAAUUGAGAUCUUGGAAAAGAAUAACCCAAUGGACAUCAACAAAUAUAUUAGUUAUGUUCGUUCUCCCAAAUGUGGAGCUAUAGCAACAUUUGCAGGUACAACACGUGAUACAUUUGACGGUAAAGAAGUCUUAGAGCUACAGUAUGAAGCAUAUGUUCCAAUGGCAAUACGUUGUCUGAAAUCCCUUUGUUCUUCUGCCCGAGCAUCAUGGGAUAUCCACUCGAUAGCAGUUGCCCACUGCUUGGGUACUGUUCCUGUUGGAGAGACUAGUGUAUUUGUUGCGAUCUCGUCUGUCCAUCGAGCAGAUGGAUUGGAUGCUUGCAAGUUUCUGAUUGAUGAGCUUAAAGCAUCAGUUCCGAUAUGGAAGAAGGAGGUAUAUACAAAUGGAGAGGUGUGGAAAGAGAAUAAAGAGUUUAUAGAUAGGAUGCCAGAACUUGUGAAGACAUCAGAGGAUCAAGCUGGCGCUUGCUCUGGUAAAAAGAAAGUGGAGGCACAUGAGAGAAAGAGUUGCUGUGGGACAAAGGUUAAAGUCAAUGACGAAAAUGCAGAUUCUUGUAGGUAGUUCUGAAGCACAUGUUGUUAUAUUUCAUACAAACCCCUUCAUGUCUAAACAAACCCGAAAAAUAAUAAAUGGAAUGUUAAUCAUAAAGUUUAAGAAGGCUACCACGUAUGAAGAGCUUAAUAUGGUAGUUGCUGUUUUCAAGAUUACUGCAUAUAUAUAUUCAUGAAAGAGAAUAAAGAGAGCUUGGCUAUGAAAAUGUGGACUGCCCAUGUAGG
Lycium ferocissimum is the source of this 965-nucleotide RNA transcript. It is a transcript of the gene named molybdopterin synthase catalytic subunit, with no coding region annotated. NCBI's taxonomy places the organism in Eukaryota, Viridiplantae, Streptophyta, Magnoliopsida, Solanales, Solanaceae. The transcript is spliced from 3 exons. The record is from RefSeq and is a predicted model, not a curated record.